Molecule: ribosomal RNA, 468 nt
Filed under: uncultured bacterium
Lineage: Bacteria
Description: partial 16S ribosomal RNA
Rfam family: Bacterial small subunit ribosomal RNA
Source: RNAcentral
GACGAACGCUGGCGGCGUGCUUAACACAUGCAAGUCGAACGGAAAGGCCCUGCUUUUGUGGGGUGCUUGAGUGCCGAACGCGUGUGCAACACGCGUGUAACCUGCCCCUGACUUUGGGAUAACUUCAGGAAACUGGGGCUACUACCCGAUAGGAGCUCCUGCUGCACGGUGGGCCUCGGACAGCUUGGGCGGUUGGGGAUGGACUCGCGGGUUAUCAGCUUGUUGGUGGGGUUGUGGCUUACCAAGGCUUUGACGGGUUGCCGGCCUGCGAGGGUGACCGGCCACAUGGGGACUGAGAUACGAGCGAGACUCAUGCGGGGGGAAGGGGGGGGGGGUAUUAGGGGAUGGGCGGGAGCCUGAGGCAGCAACGCCGGGUGCGGGAUGACGGCUGUCGGGGGAUAAAGCGGGUGGGCCUGUGACGGAGCGUGAGUGACGGUAAUUGGUAAAAAAGCACCGGCUAACUACGUG